GAUGAGAACGCAGCGAAAUGCGAUACUUGGUGUGAAUUGCAGAAUCCCGUGAACCAUCGAGUCUUUGAACGCAAGUUGCGCCUCAAGCCAUUAGGUUGAGGGCACGUCUGCCUGGGCGUCACAUAUCGUUGCCUGAUGCCAGUUUCCUCGUGAUGGGUGACUGUGCAGGGCGAAUGAUGGCUUCCCGUGAGCAUUGUUGCCUCAUGGUUGGUUGAAAAUUGAGUCCUUGGUAGGGAGCGCCGUGAUAGAUGGUGGUUGAGUGACGAACGAGACCCAAUCAUGUGAGACCCCUACCGAAUUUGGCCUUCAUGACCCACAUGCGUCUUUGGAACGCUCAUGACGAGACCUCAGGUCAGGCGGGGCUACCCGCUGAGUUUAAGCAUAUCAGUAAGCGGAGGA
Molecule: unclassified non-coding RNA, 399 nt
Filed under: soil metagenome
Description: partial contains 5.8S ribosomal RNA, internal transcribed spacer 2, and large subunit ribosomal RNA
Rfam family: 5.8S ribosomal RNA (bases 5-121)
Source: RNAcentral